This 490-nucleotide ribosomal RNA is filed under the name uncultured bacterium. Its description in RNAcentral is "partial 16S ribosomal RNA". It matches the Rfam family "Bacterial small subunit ribosomal RNA", at positions 30 to 507 of the family's 1533-position model. The record is from RNAcentral.
AUUGAACGCUGGCGGCAGGCCUAACACAUGCAAGUCGAACGGUAACAGGAAGAAGCUUGCUUCUUUGCUGACGAGUGGCGGACGGGUGAGUAAUGUCUGGGAAACUGCCUGAUGGAGGGGGAUGACUACUGGAAACGGUAGCUAAUACCGCAUAACGUCGCAAGACCAAAGAGGGGGACCUUCGGGCCUCUUGCCAUCGGAUGUGCCCAGAUGGGAUUAGCUUGUUGGUGGGGUAACGGCUCACCAAGGCGACGAUCCCUAGCUGGUCUGAGAGGAUGACCAGCCACACUGGAACUGAGACACGGUCCAGACUCCUACGGGAGGCAGCAGUGGGGAAUAUUGCACAAUGGGCGCAAGCCUGAUGCAGCCAUGCCGCGUGUAUGAAGAAGGCCUUCGGGUUGUAAAGUACUUUCAGCGGGGAGGAAGGGAGUAAAGUUAAUACCUUUGCUCAUUGACGUUACCCGCAGAAGAAGCACCGGCUAACUCCGUG